Molecule: RNA transcript, 5756 nt
Organism: Zerene cesonia (dogface butterfly)
Lineage: Eukaryota; Metazoa; Arthropoda; Insecta; Lepidoptera; Pieridae
Gene: bves
Gene name: blood vessel epicardial substance
Exons: 7
Source: RefSeq, a predicted model, not a curated record
UUGUCAUUUGUCAUUCUUUAGGUUUUGAUUGUUUGCUGCACGAUAUAAUUCUUAUUUAUUUUUAAAAUAAUUAAUUAUUUCAAAUUCGAAACGAUUUAGCAUUCGAAACAUAUUUAUAAGCGCGAGUUUAGCUAAAACAAUAAUUUUCGCAAUAAUUGCAAUUUUUAAAAAAGAGUGUCAGUUGCAGUUUAUUUAUUUUUGAAUGAAAAAAUAAAUCUUGCGAUUUCGAAAUACCUUCAUGAAUCCAAAAAAAAUUAAAACAGCAGUGUAAAAGUGAGAUAAAAUAGCGCGCAAAUGCAAUACGUCUUCGAGAAAAUAUCGAUGUGUGGAUUGGACCCGGAGGUUUGUGUUCGGUGGGAUUAUGUUAUUUCUCAGUGCCUUAGCGAUUGGAAUGAUAACUGGCCUGCAGAAUGUUACCACAGAAUUGACGACCACGGACAGUGACGUUCCUUCUACGACGGUUUCUGAUAUGGGUUUGAUCGAGGCGUCGAAGGCAUCUGAGACUAGCGACUUCGUUAAUGUGACGAUACAAGAGCGGCCCUCGAUGUGGGAUCUGUACCUGAACCACUGCCCACGGUGGAGGCCGAUAAAUCAUAUAUUUUUUCAAGUGUCGAACGUAUUUUUUUUGUUAUCAUUCCUCGCGCCCCACACUCCGACCGGACUGAUAUGGUUACGCGUGUCGCUGAUACUCGGAUGCGCGUUUUCGGGCCUCUGGGCUUGGAGCAUUGAAUGCUAUUUGGAUGCUGUGCUCUGGAACAGUGCAUUUGUGAUCAUAAACUUCAUAUAUUUUGCGAUACAGUUCUACUUAUUGAGACCGAUAAAGUUCCAUAAGGAAAUUGAAGAGGUAUAUACAGCCCUCUUCAAGCCGCUCCGCGUGUCCCGGCGGCAGUUCCGGCGCGUGUUGAUGUGCAUGCGCAACGUGCGACACCUGAAGUGCCACGAGCUGUACGCGCACGAGAAGGUCACGAAGGUGGACAGCCUGUCGCUGGUGCUGUCUGGCAAGUUGGUUGUAUCUCAGAACCAGCGCGCCCUGCACAUAGUGUUCCCACAUCACUUCCUAGACUCGCCCGAAUGGUUUGGCGUGUCCACGGAUGAAUAUUUUCAGGUAUCCAUAAUGGCGAUGGAAGAAUCGCGAGUUCUGGUGUGGCAUCGCGAUAAGUUAAAACUGUCAAUCAUGUCCGACGCAUUCCUGCAAGCUGUCUUCGACCAUAUCCUGGGCAGGGAUGUUGUUCACAAGUUGAUGCAGGUGAGCGAAACGAUGGCGGUGAGCAACGGCCACCUGCCGAACAGCUACGAGGAGGGCGAGGACAAGCCGAUGCUGAUCGUAAAGAAGUCUGGCGACGGGCCCGGGAUCACGGCGCUGCUCAAUAGACAGUUGCAAGGCGAACACGCGCCAUUACUCUGCGCGCCUCCAACGCAAGACUGCUGAACUACGAACCCUACCUUUUUACCCAUUCUCCUAUUAUCUUUUUAAUCUUUCAAAAAGUGCAAUUGUUUUAACUACUUUUGACGUAUAAGCAAAAAAAUACAGACACGUAAUUCCUUAAUAUGGUCAGAUUAUGUAAAAACUUUUUUUUUUAUAAAUGUCAAAUUAUUUGACAUGCGAAUUGUUGCCAUCAACAAAAAGAAAGUUGUUGAACUUUGAAACAAAUGUACUGUUUGAAUGCUUGUAUCACUAAAACGUGUUCACAAUUUUAUUUUAUUUAUUUGAAGCAAUGAAUCUUCAAUUACAUCCGGCUUAUUUAAAAACAAUGUCAAUAUCCAAUUCCGUCCUCUAAUAUCCAAAUUAACGAAUUUAUUUUUAUAUUGGUAUUGCUCAAUUAUAAUAUGUGAUUGGUGUGUAAUUAAUGUAGCUUUUUAUAUGUGUACGUGGUUUUUAUUUUCAUAAUGAAACGCACAUUUAUGUACCUUUAUUUUAAGUAUAAUUAACAUUGAUUAAUAAAUCAUGACAUAGUUAGUUUAGAUUAGGGUUAUAAAGUACAAUAUACACGUGAGUAUUAUAAGUAUUAACGCACAGUAUCAUUAAUAAGACAGUAUAUUUUGAAAUAUAUUAUAUUAUAUUAAUAUAAGUACAAUUAUAGCUGUUUAUGGCGAAGCUCAAUGAUUCAUAAUUAAACAAUUUAAAAAAAAUGAUGCCUAGUAUUUAACAUUAAACACGCAUGGCAAUUUAAUAUUAAUACGACUUAAAACUGGGAGAAAUUUAGUUUCGUCAACAUAUAAUAAAAGUGUUGCAUGUUAUUUAAAUAUUUUGUUGUAUCUGUAUGCUUCACAUAGUGUGAAUAAAGAUGAUUUCAUACGAUCUUUUACAAUUAAAGCUGGCAACACAUCAGCCGUAUACGACUAUUUUGUCGUUAUCCUUGCAUACAAUCAGUACUACAACAUUCAUCUUUGUUUGCACGUAAUAUAUAUUAUGUUUUUAUAUUAUUAUUUUAGUAUUUGGGUCGAGAUAACACGCUUGGCUGUCAUUGUUGUAUAUGUAUACGCCAUCGUAGUUCAUGUAGUGAUGCACAGAUGUCGCUUUUUUUCAAACAUAAAAAAAUGCAUUAUCAUAUUUCAACUUGCUUUUCGCGAUUAGUGAUACUGUUAAAAGAAAUUCAUAAAGUGAUUUAAUGACUCGUCAAGUUGAGUGUAUCUUGACCUACCACAACAAUGCUUUAAUAUGAUCCUGUUACCUUGAAUAUAUUUUAAUAUAAUAACGAUUGAUAUUAGUCUAGUAUUAUCCCUCGUGUCUCCUUUCCAUUGUAAUCCUAUGCAUGUUGGAAGACUCGAGUAAUUCAGCGGCAGAUCCGAACGCAUGGCGACUGGGCAGAAUCGAAGAGACAGACCACGAGACGCCGGUCUGAGGCCACGCAUUGCACCUAGCGGUCAGACCGCGGAGACGCGAUUACCGUUAGGGCAAGUUUUGCACAUGGCAUCCACAGACUAUACACGGACUCUAUGGUGUCUGUGGACGCCGCUUUGCGGUUCCUACGUUGACAGUGACAACUGACAGCUUCGUUGUGGUCUUAGAUAACAACAUGGAUUGGUUGUGUCAUUGUGUGAAAAACUAAAAAGUCUAUAACUACCAUAAACAUUCGGCCGUGGAGUUCGCUUCGGGAGGGAAUUAAAAUUUACUCUCCCCGCUAGAUAAAUAAAAAAGUGAUUCAAAGCGAUUUCACCGCCAUUUGUUUGGCAGCUAGUAUAAGUCUACUAGUUUUGAAUGGUUUUGCGUAAGAUAAAAAAUAUUUCGACGACGUACGUAACGUUAGGUUUAAAAUGGCUUUAAUAUCGUUGCGUUGACGCUUCGCUUUAUCGUAUAUUAUGUUUUUUGUUGUUAUUUGAAGAUUGAUUUUGUUUGAAUUUGUGAUUGAUUGGAUCUCUCUAGUUGUAUCGAACGUUUAUUUUCAUAUAAUAAUAUUAUACGACCGUGUCGCGCAGCUAUUUUCUUAUAUUGGAUAGAUUACAAGCUUUUUUUAUACGUGGGAAACAAUAUUUUUGGGUUUAUUUACAUAGUUAUAAGCUACGCGAUACAAGAAGUCUAUGUAUAAAUUGACACAAACGAAAUAUAAUAUUAUUUUGUGUACACAUUUAUGUAGAUAGAGAGAACUAGGAAAAGUAGUUAUUGGACUGACGUACUUUUUCAAGGCGGAGUUAAAUAUUGUAUAUAAUAAGUGUCUAUGUACAAAAUUAGUUUCGAUAACGUAAAUGUCGUUGCUAGUGAGAUAGUCGAUGAACUAAAUUGAAGAACUAUUAAAUUAUUAUAUUGAUGGAUGCGUUACCUAGGGUUGCCAAUUGUGUAAUUUAAUGUAUACAACAAGAUCAACAAUUCACAGUGAUAACCACAGUAUUAAUCAAAGAGAGUUCAAAAUUUAUCACGGACGAGGAAUACUCGUAUCCUUAUAAUUUGAAAUAUCAAUUUCACACUCUCUUAUUUCAAACGUUACAAGCACCUUGGCAACCUUAAUAUUGAAAAAAGUGAAGUGAGUAUCAAUGUUCACACUGUAUUACAAUAAAAGUUUAUUGAAAUCUUAUUCCUGGUCAUAAAACUUUAUCUGUAACUGUUACUACUAUAAAAAAAUAAUAAAUAAGAGGUGUAUUAUAGUCCCAGUCAUCCAUAUCAUUAUUCCUUCAAACAUAUUUGUUUUCAAAUACAUACUUCACUGUUCAGUCAGGCGCCCAUCUCUUAUCAUUAAAAAACAUGUAUGAUCAAAAAUCUUACGCACAAGAUAUUUCGACUUAUAAACUCAUGUGAAAAAACAUUAACAGUCUCCUGAAUAGUACUUAGACACUAACGAAAAUGAACUUACAAAAGUGCCGUUUUAAAUGCAAUAAGUUAAUAUAACGACGUUGACUGUGUUAGAUAAAUAAUUAAUUUGACAUUCCAAAUUUUUUUAUAGCUUGAAAUUGCUAAUGAUAUCGUGAAUUGAUUUAAAAAAAAACAUUCGAAAAGAGAACUUGAAUGUUUUAUGGUUUCGCGCCAAAAAUAUCAAACUGAUGAAAUUGGUCCUACAUACUACAUUUAAUUAGUAUGAAGAAGAAAGCCUAUGUUCGUUGCGUAAUUGCAAGUGAGACCAUGUAGUAUGUAUAAUCUAAUGUCAUAGUUUAUUUUUAUGCGCGGUCAUUAGAAGUACAAGUAUUGCCAUAAUAUUCUAUCAAUGUAGGUACAUAUCUCAUUAUAAAUAAAGAUUUGUAUGUUGGUUGUAUUUUUAAUUUAUUGCUUUUUUUGACGCAAAUGUGAGCAAGUUAAAAAAAAGUCAUUUUUAAAUCAAUUCACUGUUAAGUAAUUACUAUUAAUAAUAUAGAUUAUCAUAAAUGCACUGCCAUUGCAAAUGUAUGUGAUUUGUUAAAUGCCGAUUUGUGUCAUGAUAUUGGAUCUCAUUGGAUGACGAAAUUUGAUGGAUUACUUGGAGAUUAUGUUUCGCCUGAUGUUCUUCUUUAUAUACUAUAUUUCUUGGAAUACAAUCAGAACAAAGGGAUGAAAAGAGGCCCGCUAUAUCGUUAUGAACAUCGAGCCAAACCUAGCCUGCCUGUAUGUAAUGAUUCGUUAAGGUAUUUGAAUUAUUUUAAUGCACAAUGAUCAAUAAAUUAUAUUUGAAAGCUUAUAUGAAGCUAUUCAUCAAGUGAUUUUGUCUUUUAAUUCAAAGUUUUACUCUGAAUUGCAUAAAUUGCUCAAUGAUAAGUGUUUGACAUUAACAAAAUGUACAAUUUUUAUGCUCUAGUUAACACGUUGCAUAAACUUCAGAGACCCGGAAAGGUUAAAUGGUUUCUCAAGCAAGAUUAAUAAUUUUUCAUUUUUUUAUACAUAUUUCCUUAAUAUAAUAGAAAAUAUUCUUAUUUUAUGCUCCCUGCAGACCCUCUAAAGAAAUUUACCUAACAGCACGCUGCGUUACUUGUUGUCAGUUGACUGUUUAUUAUUUAUAGGAUAAUGUGCUAAUUUUUGCGUCAAUACAAAACAUUUGUUUCAUUGCAGAUACAUAUACACAAAAUAAUUAAAUAAUUAUGAUUUAUCAUGGCUAAUCCGAUCACACUUGACGGUAUUUUGGUUUGACCGUUUAAUAAUGUGCAUUAAAAUAAUUUUCAUUCCUUACACAUGUAACGAUAUAACUGUUGUACAAAUUGAAGGUUAUCAAAGUAAAACGUUACACUUUGGUGUUACACCUUUAGAAUGCCUUAAUGAUUUGCCGUGUGUGAUAUAUGUAAAUUAUGUGUGGGUGAUCACUUGAAUCAUUGUAGUACAUGUUAAUGAGAUAGAAAAUAAAACUACCUUAUGAAUUGUG